This 1074-nucleotide long non-coding RNA is filed under the name Gossypium barbadense (sea-island cotton). RNAcentral describes it as "long non-coding RNA (GBAR_LNC016335)". Lineage: Eukaryota; Viridiplantae; Streptophyta; Magnoliopsida; Malvales; Malvaceae. The record is from RNAcentral.
GAUCAUGAACCAAAGAAAACGGAUUUGGAUCGGGGAAAAACAAAAAUAAUCGAAUAGUCGUCUAUUCCGUCCGUCAAUAUCCGAGGUAAGUUUAUAAGCAAAUAGAUGUUAUAAUUUUUAAUUAAAUGUGAAUUAUAUGUGCUGAAAUGAAUAUGUGAAUAAAUAUAUGUAUUAGCCGAAUGUGUACAAGCUUGGCAGCUAUGUUUAUGAAUUCGUUUCGACUGAGUUAUGACGUCUGAAAGCCCCGUAUGAACCUUAGGAAUAGUUAGGAUACAUAUGUCAUGACAUAGGAUUUCAAUAUGUAUUUUCGUGUAAGACCACUUCUGGGACGUUGGCAUCGACUUGUGUAUACGUGUAAGACCAUGUCUGGGACAUUGACAUUGUAUUUGAUUUGUGUAAGACCUUGUCUGGGACAGUGGCAUCGAUAUGUGAUUACAUGUAAGACCACGUCUGGGACGUUGGCAUUGUACGAGCCUUCCGACUAUCCGACUAUCCGAAUAUCCUUUUUAAUUCCGAAUGGUUCAACAGGUAAAGAUAAGUUGCGUACGAAUGUUUAAAUCAGGCUAAGUGACCAGGUAUGUGAUAAUUGAUUAUCUAUUUGAAAAUAAGGUAAGUUGUAUACUUGAAUUGAUGAUAUGAAGUUAUGUGAAAUAUGAAUUAUGUGAUUGCAUAUUUGAAUAUAUAUGUAUUCGGCCUUUGAUGUAUAUGUGUAUUGAGGAAAGUGAUGAUUAGUUAUAUUAAUGUUCAAUUGAUUAUUUGGUAAAGAGGGAAGUUAUUACAAAUUAUAUAAGUUUUGAUAUAUAAGUUGAUAAAUUGAAUUAUAUGUGAAAUUAUAAUGGUUUAUUACUAAUUGUCUAGCUUAAUUUACGUAAAUGAUUAAAUAUUUAUUUGCUUAUGACUUACUAAGCUUUGAUAGCUUACGGUGUGAAAUCGCUUUCUGUUUUAUAGAUUUGGAAGUUGGUUAUGAGCUCGGCGAUCAUCAGAGAAGUCUAUCACACUAUCGAGUACUGUUUUCAGUAUUUUACUAAGUUUGAAAUUGAACUUAUGGCAUGUAUAGUCUAGUUAAUAUGUUUG